GUCACGUUACUGUGAGACGUCAGAGAGUUGAACGCUUUAGGAGCCAAGUUACCCUUUAGAACAGUGGUCGCCAACCGGUCGAUCGCUCCUUUUUUAAAUCGUGUUGAGCUGUUGCCGGUAGGUGCACUUGAUUCAAAAGUCCUGUGCACCGGGUAAGCAAAGUGUUCCCAUGAGACAAACUCCGCAUACCCGGCAAAUCUGUGACUAAAUCGAGUGCACCUACUGCGCUGCCCAAUCGGAUAGCUCAAAUCACUGUGGCUACAGAGCUUCCAUGACCCUGGCCACAGCCAAGUGUAAUAAGCUCCUAACCUACGUAAGAUUUAAUCACUUUUAAAACCAUGACCACAGAGAGACUGUCACCGAACACAGCAAAGAGCUUCUGUUUUUAUGAGUGAGUUUAAGUUUAUAUUCAGCACUGGCACUGUUUUUAUUCAACACUAUUAAAAAACAUGCUUCUCCGUACUUCUGCUCGGGCUGCAGCUGCAAUGAAUGAGUAGCCAAGUAUCGAUAGCCCUGCAUUUUAUUAUAUUUAUUAUCAGCUCGUCGUGUUGAUUUUAGUAUUAAGGAAUAUUUAACAUUCUCUGGUCAUAGGAACAGCAUGAAUUUGUGCAUGAGGCAGAUGCGAUGCAACUCGAGUUUCGCCAUCAGGUGGAAGACGGUGUCCCCUCUCUCUGGUCAGUCUUACCGGAGGAAAGGACGGAGAGAGCAGGUGGAAGACGGUGUCCCCUCUCUCUGGUCAGUCUUACCGGAGGAAAGGACGGAGAGAGCAGGUGGAAGACUGCGUCCCCUCUCUCUGGUCAUCAGUCUCACCGGAGGAAAGGAAGGAGAGAGCAGGUGGAAGACGGUGUCCCCUCUCUCUGGUCAGUCUCAGCGGAGGAAAGGGAGGAGAGAGCAGGUGGAAGACGGUGUCCCCUCUCUCUGGUCAUCAGUCUCACCGGAGGAAAGGAAGGAGAGAGCAGGUGGAAGACUGUGUCCCCUCUCUCUGGUCAUCAGUCUCACCGGAGGAAAGGAAGGAGAGAGCAGGUGGAAGACGGUGUCCCCUCUCUCUGGUCAUCAGUCUCACCGGAGGAAAGGAAGGAGAGAGCAGGUGGAAGACUGUAUCCCCUCUCUCUGGUCAGUCUCACCGGAGGAAAGGAAGGAGAGAGCAGGUGGAAGACGGUGUCCCCUCUCUCUGGUCAGUCUCACCGGAGGAAAGGAAGGAGAGAGCAGGUGGAAGACGGUGUCCCCUCUCUCUGGUCAGUCUCAGCGGAGGAAAGGGAGGAGAGAGCAGGUGGAAGACGGUGUCUCCUCUCUCUGGUCAUCAGUCUCACCGGAGGAAAGGGAGGAGAGAGCAGGUGGAAGACGGUGUCCCCUCUCUCUGGUCAUCAGUCUCACCGGAGGAAAGGAAGGAGAGAGCAGGUGGAAGACGGUGUCCCCUCUCUCUGGUCAGUCUCACCGGAGGAAAGGGAGGAGAGAGCAGGUGGAAGACGGUGUCCCCUCUCUCUGGUCAUCAGUCUCACCGGAGGAAAGGAAGGAGAGAGCAGGUGGAAGACGGUGUCCCCUCUCUCUGGUCAGUCUCACCGGAGGAAAGGAAGGAGAGAGCAGGUGGAAGACUGUGUCCCCUCUCUCUGGUCAGUCUCACCGGAGGAAAGGGAGGAGAGAGCAGGUGGAAGACGGUGUCCCCUCUCUCUGGUCAUCAGUCUCACCGGAGGAAAGGGAGGAGAGAGCAGGUGGAAGACGGUGUCCCCUCUCUCUGGUCAGUCUCACCGGAGGAAAGGAAGGAGAGAGCAGGUGGAAGACGGUGUCCCCUCUCUCUGGUCAUCAGUCUCACCGGAGGAAAGGGAGGAGAGAGCAGGUGGAAGACGGUGUCCCCUCUCUCUGGUCAGUCUCACCGGAGGAAAGGAAGGAGAGAGCAGGUGGAAGACGGUGUCCCCUCUCUCUGGUCAGUCUCAGCGGAGGAAAGGGAGGAGAGAGCAGGUGGAAGACGGUGUCUCCUCUCUCUGGUCAUCAGUCUCACCGGAGGAAAGGGAGGAGAGAGCAGGUGGAAGACGGUGUCCCCUCUCUCUGGUCAUCAGUCUCACCGGAGGAAAGGAAGGAGAGAGCAGGUGGAAGACGGUGUCCCCUCUCUCUGGUCAGUCUCACCGGAGGAAAGGGAGGAGAGAGCAGGUGGAAGACGGUGUCCCCUCUCUCUGGUCAUCAGUCUCACCGGAGGAAAGGAAGGAGAGAGCAGGUGGAAGACGGUGUCCCCUCUCUCUGGUCAGUCUCACCGGAGGAAAGGAAGGAGAGAGCAGGUGGAAGACUGUGUCCCCUCUCUCUGGUCAGUCUCACCGGAGGAAAGGGAGGAGAGAGCAGGUGGAAGACGGUGUCCCCUCUCUCUGGUCAUCAGUCUCACCGGAGGAAAGGGAGGAGAGAGCAGGUGGAAGACGGUGUCCCCUCUCUCUGGUCAGUCUCACCGGAGGAAAGGAAGGAGAGAGCAGGUGGAAGACGGUGUCCCCUCUCUCUGGUCAUCAGUCUCACCGGAGGAAAGGGAGGAGAGAGCAGGUGGAAGACGGUGUCCCCUCUCUCUGGUCAGUCUCACCGGAGGAAAGGAAGGAGAGAGCAGGUGGAAGACGGUGUCCCCUCUCUCUGGUCAGUCUCACCGGAGGAAAGGGAGGAGAGAGCAGGUGGAAGACGGUGUCCCCUCUCUCUGGUCAGUCUCACCAGAGGAAAGGGAGGAGAGAGCAGGGACCGUGAGAGGAAGACCCUCUCUCAGGUCAGUCUCACCAGAGGAAAGGGAGGAGAGAGCAGGGACCGUGAGAGGUGGUUGGUAAAAAAUUGUUUUGAACGGUCAUCCAACUCGGAAUUCCAAGUCGGAAACUCGGGCAUCUUUCUAAAG
RNAcentral lists this long non-coding RNA (2854 nucleotides) under Oncorhynchus kisutch (coho salmon). Its description in RNAcentral is "lncRNA (ENSOKIG00005021036.1)". Lineage: Eukaryota; Metazoa; Chordata; Actinopteri; Salmoniformes; Salmonidae. The record is from RNAcentral.